GAUGAAGAACGUAGCGAACUGCGAUAAGUAAUGUGAAUUGCAGAAUUCAGUGAAUCAUCGAGUCUUUGAACGCACAUUGCGCCCCCUGGCAUUCCGGGGGGCAUGCCUGUCCGAGCGUCAUUGCUGCCCUUCAAGCCCGGCUUGUGUGUUGGGUCGUCGUCCCCCCCGGGGGACGGGCCCGAAAGGCAGCGGCGGCACCGCGUCCGGUCCUCGAGCGUAUGGGGCUUUGUCACCCGCUCGAUUAGGGCCGGCCGGGCGCCAGCCGGCGUCUCCAACCUUCUAUUUUACCAGGUUGACCUCGGAUCAGGUAGGGAUACCCGCUGAACUUAAGCAUAUCGAUAAGCGGAGGA
Molecule: unclassified non-coding RNA, 350 nt
Filed under: soil metagenome
Description: partial contains 5.8S ribosomal RNA, internal transcribed spacer 2, and large subunit ribosomal RNA
Rfam family: 5.8S ribosomal RNA (bases 1-120)
Source: RNAcentral